RNAcentral lists this ribosomal RNA (757 nucleotides) under uncultured Glomeromycotina. RNAcentral's name for it is "bacterial SSU rRNA". It matches the Rfam family "Eukaryotic small subunit ribosomal RNA", at positions 338 to 1092 of the family's 1831-position model. Lineage: Eukaryota; Fungi; Glomeromycota. The record is from RNAcentral.
GGCCUACCAUGGUGAUGACGGGUAACGGGGAAUAAGGGUUCGAUUCCGGAGAGAGGGCCUGAGAAACGGCCCUCAGGUCUAAGGACACGCAGCAGGCGCGCAAAUUAUCCCCUGGCAACACUUUGCCGAGAUAGUGACAAUAAAUAACAAUGCAGGGCUCUUACGGGUCUUGCAAUUGGAAUGAGUACAAUUUAAAUCCCUUAACGAGGAACAAUUGGAGGGCAAGUCUGGUGCCAGCAGCCGCGGUAAUUCCAGCUCCAAUAGCGUAUAUUAAAGUUGUUGCAGUUAAAAAGCUCGUAGUUGAAUUUCGGGAUCGACGGGUCGGUCGCGCCUCUGGUGUGUACUGGCCCUGUCGGUUUCUCCCUUCUGACGAACCACGAUGUCAUUAAUUUGGUGUCGUGGGAAAUCAGGACUGUUACUUUGAAAAAAUUAGAGUGUUUAAAGCAGGCAUUCGCUUGAAUACAUUAGCAUGGAAUAAUGAAAUAGGACGUUUGAUCUUAUUUUGUUGGUUUCUAGGAUUGACGUAAUGAUUAAUAGGGAUAGUUGGGGGCAUUAGUAUUCAAUUGUCAGAGGUGAAAUUCUUGGAUUUAUUGAAGACUAACUACUGCGAAAGCAUUUGCCAAGGAUGUUUUCAUUAAUCAAGAACGAAAGUUAGGGGAUCGAAGACGAUCAGAUACCGUCGUAGUCUUAACCAUAAACUAUGCCGACUAGGGAUCGGAUGAUGUUAAUUUUUUAAUGACUCAUUCGGCGCCUUACG